RNAcentral lists this transfer RNA (25 nucleotides) under Ditrichum lineare. RNAcentral's name for it is "partial transfer RNA-Phe". Lineage: Eukaryota; Viridiplantae; Streptophyta; Bryopsida; Pseudoditrichales; Ditrichaceae. The record is from RNAcentral.
GCCGGGUUGCGCCUGCGUACCGGCG